Molecule: transfer RNA, 66 nt
Filed under: Parakontikia atrata
Lineage: Eukaryota; Metazoa; Platyhelminthes; Tricladida; Geoplanidae
Description: tRNA-Gln
Source: RNAcentral
UUUUUUUGAGUGUUUAUGCAUAUGAAAUUUUGAUUUUCAUGGAAUUAGUAGAAUUAUUUAAGAAAU